AGAGUUAGAUCUUGGCUCAGAUUGAACGCUAGCGGGAUGCUUUACACAUGCAAGUCGAACGGCAGCGCGAGAGAGCUUGCUCCCUUGGCGGCGAGUGGCGGACGGGUGAGUAAUAUAUCGGAACGUGCCCAGUAGCGGGGGAUAACUACUCGAAAGAGUGGCUAAUACCACAUACGCCCUACGGGGGAAAGGGGGGGAUCGCAAGACCUCUCACUAUUGGAGCGGCCGAUAUCGGAUUAGCUAGUUGGUGGGGUAAAGGCUCACCAAGGCAACGAUCCGUAGCUGGUUUGAGAGGACGACCAGCCACACUGGGACUGAGACACGGCCCAGACUCCUACGGGAGGCAGCAGUGGGGAAUUUUGGACAAUGGGGGAAACCCUGAUCCAGCCACCCGCGUGUAUGAUGAAGGCCUUCGGGUUGUAAAGUACUUUUGGCAGAGAAGAAAAGGUAUCCCCUAAUACGGGAUACUGCUGACGGUUCUGCAGAAUAAGCACCGGCUAACUACGUGCCAGCAGCCGCGGUAAUACGUAGGGUGCAAGCGUUAAUCGGAAUUACUGGGCGUAAAGCGUGUGUAGGCGGUUCGGAAAGAAAGAUGUGAAAUCCCAGGGCUCAACCUUGGAACUCAUUUUAACUACUAGAGUAUAGUAUAGCAGAGGGGGAUAUCACUUUCUACGCGUAGCAGUGAAUUGCGUAGAUAUGUGGAGGCAUACCGAAAGGGAAGCCCGCCCCCUAAUAUAAUACUUACGGUCAGACAGGGUAGGGGGGGGAGCAAACAGGAUUACCUACCCUGGUAGUCCACGCCCUAAACAAUGUCAACUAGCUGUUGGGGAGGUUAGGCCUUAGUAGCGCAGCUAUUAAGUUAACUUGACCGCGUGGGGAGCCCGAAGGUUAAAAUUCAACUCAAAGGAAGGGGGGCGGCCCCGCACGGUGGGGCGGGUGAUUUAAAUUAAUUCGAUGCAAAGAACAAAACCUUACCUACCCUUGACAUGUAUGGAAAGCCGAAGAGAUUGGGCCGUGGGGGACAGAGAACCAGAACACAGAUGGUGCUUGGCAGUUGUCAUCUUGAGUUGUUAGAUUUAGUGCUAAAUCCAGCAACAACCGCAACCCUUGUCAUCAGCAGGUACGCAAGGGCACUCUAAGGAGACUGCCGGUGACAAACCGGAGGAAGGUGGGGAUGACGUCAAGUCAUCAUGGCCCUUAUGGGUAGGGCUUCACACGUCAUACAAUGGUCGGGACAGAGGGUUGCCAACCCGCGAGGGGGAGCCAAUCUCAGAAACCCGAUCGUAGUCCGGAUCGCAGUCUGCAACUCGACUGCGUGAAGUCGGAAUCGCUAGUAAUCGCGGAUCAGAAUGUCGCGGUGAAUACGUUCCCGGGCCUUGUACACACCGCCCGUCACACCAUGGGAGUGGGUUGCACCAGAAGUAGGUAGUCUAACCUUAAGGAGGGCGGUUACCACGGUGGGAUUCAUGACUGGGGUGAAGUCGUAACAAGUAGCCGUAUCGAACGUUGCU
Molecule: ribosomal RNA, 1511 nt
Filed under: Alcaligenes faecalis
Lineage: Bacteria; Pseudomonadati; Pseudomonadota; Betaproteobacteria; Burkholderiales; Alcaligenaceae
Description: bacterial SSU rRNA
Rfam family: Bacterial small subunit ribosomal RNA
Source: RNAcentral